This 425-nucleotide ribosomal RNA is filed under the name uncultured bacterium. Its description in RNAcentral is "partial 16S ribosomal RNA". It matches the Rfam family "Bacterial small subunit ribosomal RNA", at positions 354 to 796 of the family's 1533-position model. The record is from RNAcentral.
GUGGGGAAUAUUGCACAAUGGAGGAAACUCUGAUGCAGCGACGCCGCGUGAGUGAAGAAGUAAUUCGUUAUGUAAAGCUCUAUCAGCAGGGAAGAUAGUGACGGUACCUGACUAAGAAGCUCCGGCUAAAUACGUGCCAGCAGCCGCGGUAAUACGUAUGGAGCAAGCGUUAUCCGGAUUUACUGGGUGUAAAGGGAGCGUAGACGGCUGUGUAAGUCUGAAGUGAAAGCCCGGGGCUCAACCCCGGGACUGCUUUGGAAACUAUGCAGCUAGAGUGUCGGAGAGGUAAGUGGAAUUCCCAGUGUAGCGGUGAAAUGCGUAGAUAUUGGGAGGAACACCAGUGGCGAAGGCGGCUUACUGGACGAUGACUGACGUUGAGGCUCGAAAGCGUGGGGAGCAAACAGGAUUAGAUACCCUAGUAGUCC